RNAcentral lists this transfer RNA (78 nucleotides) under Buccinulum vittatum vittatum. RNAcentral describes it as "tRNA-Lys". The record is from RNAcentral. Lineage: Eukaryota; Metazoa; Mollusca; Gastropoda; Neogastropoda; Buccinidae.
UUCUUAGAUGACUGAGAAAUAAGUGCUAGAUUUUUAAUCUAGAGACGGCAAAAUUUGCCUCUAAGAACCAACUGGAAG